ACCCAUCUCGUUUGGCCUCUAGAGAAUGAUGCCUCAGAAGAACUCCAUAUUGGCACCAUUGCACUUAGUUAAGUUCUUUCCCACCAUGCUAGUUCAAGUAGGGGUUCAAGAAUGGCCUCAGAAGAACUCCAUAUUGGCCACACUAGUUGCCUACCUUUCACUUCAUCAUAUGUGUAUAGGCUUCUCCUGAAUGUAAGCACAUACUUUGCAACCCCAGAACUGGACGAAUACGGUGUAUGAGUCACAAACGAUUAAAGCCUACCACGGUGGAAGGCCACGAAAAAGUGUUCAAAGCACUCUUACGUUUUCAACUUAAUAUUGAGUGAUUGAGGGAUUUUAAGGUCUCAUCAAUUUUAUUUAUUUAAUCACAAUCAAAUAAAUAAUGUCCUAUUUACAACUACUAGUCCAAAGUUAAUGAAAUUAGUAGCAUAUAAUAUCCCCACUAUUCGUUUUCAUAAAACAAAUCAAUAUCAAAACAUUUUUCAAAAUAUUGGAGAUAUAUAUAACUACUAAUUGUAUUCAUUAUAGUUUUAGUAGCGUAUGAUACUCCCACUAUUUGUUUUGAGAAAAACAAAUCAAUAUCAAAAACGAAUUUUUCAAAUAUUAGAAGUAACUACUACUACUAAGGUUUUUGCAUUCCUUUGAAAUUGGACUUUAUAGUUAUCUUAGGCUCUUGGAUGACCAUGGACUUAUAAGGUUAUUGCAACAACGAGCCAUCAUUGUUGAAUAUAAACUCGGGGAGGUUGUGUCAAUUUAAUUACGUGCUUAUCAAUCCAAUUAAAACCAUUUUCAUUGAGCCAUUAGAAAUGAAAGACAAUCAUUCAUUGCUAAUUGGGGCAUUGGACCCUUUUAAUCUUUAAUCUCAUGUCAAAACCCUCUUUUAGUUAUGUCUCCUUACCAAUAGUUAAAGAAACUCUAGUCUAGCACUAGAGGGAAUCAACUAACGAAUAGAGAUUAAGAAGUAAUAAGAAUUACAAACCGAUUUGUACAAAUUCCUAUAAAUUACAUAUACUAAAAGGGGAGAGAUAGAUUAACGUCAAACGUGACAAGGUCCAAUUAAACAGUAAUUAAAACACAUUCCCAAGGUUCAAACAAUUUGAUUUUAGCGCCUUAUCUCAUAGCUCAAUUAUCGUUUAAGGCAUAAGUCCAAAGUCAUCCAUUUUACAAUUACUUAACACAUUUAAAUAAUCAUAAUGGAAUGCAACAUAAACAUUUAGAUUUAAUGCAUAUGGGCAUAAUAUAAUUAUGAGUUUAAACAACUAACAAAAUUAAAAUCAAAUAUUUUAACUUUCUAGUUAGUAAGGGCUUAAAUGCAAAUAUGAAAAAGUUAGGGGUCAAACCGUAAAUACUCAAAAGUAUAAAAUAUCUUUUCCAAAUUACAAAAUACCCCACAAGUGGGUAUACAACUAGGGGAGGCCGGCCAUGAAUUGGGGAGAAGAUAGAAAGUCUCACUUAUCUUCCCUUAAAUCAUGCAAAGUAGAAAAAAAAUCAAAAUUUUACUUGUCACUUGGUUUUGGUUUAAAUGGUUUUAAUUCAAAAGGUGAUGGAAAUCUCUUAGAUAAGCUUAUGGUUUUAUAAGUUUUUAAUAUGGUUAUGGAUGGUAAGAACAUCAUCUAAAACCAUAAAACUAUGCAUGAAAACCAAAUAAAAACACUUUCACCCAAAACCAAACCAUGAACACCAAGAACAAAACCAUGAACAUAUUUUCAAGAUUUGUGUAUUCUUGGUGAUUUUUCAAACCCAAAAACAAAAGUGACAAGGUUUCUACUUUCUAGCUUUGAAAUGAUGUGUGAGUGUCUUACAAUAAAACAAAAACACAUGCUCAAAACUUCCCCAAAAACGUGCCAACCACAAAGAACAAAACCCCAAAAUUUGUUCAUGACUUAUUCUUCAUUUCAUGCAUACAAAACAACUUUUACAUGCAUAUCUUUUUCAACUCUUGAUUUACAUUUUUCAAUCAUUGAAAAACAAAAGAUAAACAUACUUUUAAAUGAAGAAAUCAUAUGUCAAAACUCAUCUUUCAUUCAUGCAUACAAAACAACUUUUGCAUACAUAUCUUUCUCAACUUUUGAUUAACAUUUUUCAACUUUUGAAAAACAAAAGAUAAACAUACUUUGAAUGAAACAAUAAUAUGUCAUACAUAACAUUAAUACCCAUAUGCAUAAAAUCCAAAAGGACACAUUAUACAUAAACCUUUGGCUCUGAUACCAAUUGAAGGGAAAUCUAUGAGUUUCAUGUGGGAUUUCUUAAUGACUAGCAUGCAUAUACAAUUCAAAAUUUAUAUACAUGAGCAACGGAAGCAUGUUAUCAUAUAAUAUCAAAGCUAUAGUCAUGCAAAUCCCCUUCAAGGUUCAUAGGUUUAUAUAUAAUGCAUCAAAACAUUUUAUAGAAUCAAGAACAAAGUGAAGGUUAGUCUUAUACCUCUUGAUCUUGAUUUUAGACCAAGCAUGGACCACCUCCAAGCUCUUUGCUCCUUGAAAUCCUUGAGCCUAGCUUCCCUCCUUGCCUCCUCCACUUUGUUAGAAUGAGUGCUCCUAGGUUCUCUUCAAGUUUCCAAAGUAGGAAACCUCUAAAGAUCUUCACCCACAAGUGUAGUGAGAAGGAUGAUGGAAUCACCAAAAGGGUGAAAGAUUGUUAGCUAAAACACUCCCUUUGGUGGCCGGCCCUUUCUAGUGUUUUGAGAGAUAUUCUUUUGCCUCUUUUUGUUCUAAAACACCAAACAAAAAACUUAAGGAAAAUAUCAUUAUAAAGUUCCUUAUAUAUCAAAGAAAACCUAGCCAACAAAUUGACUAAAUAUCUCACCCAUUUCACACCUAUAUGGCCGGCCCCUUUGUUGUUUAUUUGGGCUUUGGGCUUUUAUAAUUUCAAGUCAUCCAAUGCUUGAAUAAAAGCCCAAUGGGUUUAGGCCCAAUGGGCCCAAUUAACCCGAACGUUUCUUUAAGCCCAAAACGAUCUUUAUCGCUUUUAUGAUUUCUUUAGACUUUCUAAAUUAAUCACAACAAUUAAUUAAUCCAAUUAAUUAUUUCCAUCAUCCAUUGGUUACUCACUACAAUAGUGUAUUGGUGAACAAUCUUUUAGGUUCUAAUUAGCAAGGCAGUGAGGUGAUUGGAACCAAUCCAAUUAAUUCAAUCACUUAUUGAAUUGAAACUUCAUUUCAAUUCACCAUUCUUCUUUGGUGACUACAUUUAAUCAUUUAGAAGAACUCACAAGCUAUGAGUGACAUCUAACCAUAUGUCAUAG
This 3240-nucleotide long non-coding RNA is filed under the name Malus domestica (apple). RNAcentral describes it as "long non-coding RNA (MDOM_LNC020049)". The record is from RNAcentral. Lineage: Eukaryota; Viridiplantae; Streptophyta; Magnoliopsida; Rosales; Rosaceae.